Long non-coding RNA from Alligator mississippiensis (American alligator), 1523 nucleotides. RefSeq lists it as uncharacterized. The record is from RefSeq and is a predicted model, not a curated record. The transcript has 2 exons. NCBI's taxonomy places the organism in Eukaryota, Metazoa, Chordata, Crocodylia, Alligatoridae.
CGCGGCGGCGGGGUUCUCGCGAGAAGUGAGGGACUCACGUGACAUCCGCGGACCGUUAACACCCGGCUGCUGCCCUCGAGGCCCCCGGGCUGCUCGCGGGGCCCGGCCCUGGGCUCCCCCGGCGGGGCUGGGCAGCUGCUGCAGAGGCCUUAACAUCAAGGUUUUGACCAGGGAUCCUAGUUUUCUCUGAUUUAAAUUUUCGUUUAAGUAAAAGUAACUCUAAAUUCACAUUUUUCCACGAUUAAAAUGACACUUCAAUUAUAUAUAUAUAUAUAUAUAUAUAUAUUAGUAGUAUUUCAUUUAAAUCACAGAAAAAUGUGGAUUUGGGGUUGCUUUUAUUUUAACCAAAAAUGGUUUUUUUGGGGUUUUUUUCUAAAUCGGAGAAAACGAGGAUCCCUGGUUUUGACCCAGUUGUUGGGCCCAUGGCUGCCAUGCUUUGCCCUUGGCUUCCUGGGAGCCUAGGCAGUAGCUGACGCUCGGGGCCCCUUCCAGUCGCAGUUGGAUUGUGGCGCUUAGCCCCUGCCUCGCCGGACCCCUCAGUCCUUGCUUUUGUCCUUGUCCUCGCCGCUGCCAGCUGGACGCCGCUGGAGGAGUUCUGCCCGCUCCAUCCAUCAGCGAGUCAGGACGGGGCCACCACGAGUCAGCGUGCGGCAUGUGGGGUUCGACACGUGGUGUCGGCGUGUGGCACGGGGACUUGUUCUCUCCAGAAAGACCAAGCAGAGAACAGUGGGAAGGAGACAGUCUGGCCCCAGAGUUUGCAUGUUAUCUUCCUACGUGAAAGAAGAGAGUUACUUGCCAAGGCGAUGGAGCCAUCCACACAGGCUGUUACAGCAGAGCAUCUAAUGGGCAGCAAAGACCCACCGUUGUAGGCACCACAGCAAACUCAUAUACCCUUAAUCUCAGCUGGUGUGGAAACCCUAUUCAGAUGCCUCAUCAUCAGAAAGAGCAAGAAGCUAAGUAGCUUCUACUGCCGUGAUGAAAUGCAAACAAAAAUUGCCUUCCUGUCAGAUCAGGUGUCUUGUGCUCUUCCACCAUUAAUGACACUGCUGCAAAAUUUAAGACCUCACUUAAAAAAUAAAUAAGGCUGUGGUCUUUAAUUUGUUCUGAGACCCUUCCACAUACGCAUCGAGUCCAAACUGGAGCAGUGAUACUUGACUAAGGCUGCAAACAAACAGCUGAAGCAGUAGCUCUAGGUGAACUGUCUUGUUAAUCUAAGUGGAAUGUAAUAGAAAACUAAUGAAAAUAAGCAGCCCUUCUAGCUAUUUAGUUGCUGAUCAAUUUAGUGGAAGCAUGUAUCUGGUAUAGCUUUUCUACAGUCCAAGCCACAUCUCACACCUCUGGGUCUGAGAUGCUCCUACCUCUUAUCAGAUGCGAAAUCUUUUCUCCCCCUUAUACUAACACUUAUAACUCAAAAGUCUGUAGCAGAAUGUAAAUAAGAGAAUAUGCUCAAUAGCAUACAAAAAUUAUUGAUUAAAUUAUUUUCUUUCAUGUUUUACAACUACCCCUUUUUUAAUUUAUUUGAC